UACGUAGGGGGCAAGCGUUGUCCGGAUUUAUUGGGCGUAAAGAGCGUGUAGGCGGUUUGGUAGGUCCGUUGUGAAAACUCGAGGCUCAACCUCGAGACGCCGAUGGAAACCAUCAGACUAGAGUCCGGAAGAGGAGAGUGGAAUUCCUGGUGUAGCGGUGAAAUGCGCAGAUAUCAGGAAGAACACCAGUGGCUAAGGCGGCUCUCUAGUCCGGUACUGACGCUGAGACGCGAAAGCGUGGGGAGCGAACAGG
RNAcentral lists this ribosomal RNA (253 nucleotides) under uncultured bacterium. Its description in RNAcentral is "partial 16S ribosomal RNA". It matches the Rfam family "Bacterial small subunit ribosomal RNA", at positions 524 to 776 of the family's 1533-position model. The record is from RNAcentral.